UCUCUAAAAUUUGGUGGACUCACGACACUCGUGGCACACCAAUCUCACUUCCCAAACCCUAGGUAGAAACCCUAGGGUACACACCAAAAACCCUGCGUCCAAUUUUUUCUCUUUUCUUUCUUUUUCUCUCGGAAGGUUUUGGACCUUCACCUUACACAGAAGCCUUCCUCACGCCUCAAAGUUUCUCUCCUAAAAUUUCUACGUACAUCCCACCUUUCUCCUCUUUUUAAAACAACGUCAAACGUGUCUUAUCCGCGUGAGAGGAUAAAGACAAGAGGUUACACAUUUGAAUUCAAAUCAAAUUUGAAUUCAAACGAAAACCAACUUAUCCCUAUCCUUUUGGAUGUGAGAAGAGAAGGGGUGUGGCUCUUUGUGUGUGGAAAAUGUUUCAUGAGAAACCUUUUCUCGUGUAAGUAAUGUGGCACACAAAAUGGAUAAGGAUGAAAGGGCAAGUGAUAAGUUAUCCAUUCAAAUUCAAACAUGCUUUGAAUUUGAAUGGCUAACUAAUUAUUUUAUCCAUCCAUAUGGUGCACAAAUGAGGGCGUGGGGAAGGGUUUUGCAUGAGAA
This 567-nucleotide long non-coding RNA is filed under the name Elaeis guineensis (African oil palm). Its description in RNAcentral is "long non-coding RNA (EGUI_LNC014576)". Lineage: Eukaryota; Viridiplantae; Streptophyta; Magnoliopsida; Arecales; Arecaceae. The record is from RNAcentral.